Molecule: ribosomal RNA, 254 nt
Filed under: uncultured bacterium
Lineage: Bacteria
Description: partial 16S ribosomal RNA
Rfam family: Bacterial small subunit ribosomal RNA
Source: RNAcentral
UACGUAGGGGGCAAGCGUUUGUCCGGAAUCAUUGGGCGUAAAGCGCGCGUAGGCGGCCCUGUAAGUCCGUUGUGAAAGUCAAAGGCUCAACCUUUGAAAGCCGAUGGAUACUGCAGGGCUAGAGUCCGGAAGAGGCGAGUGGAAUUCCUGGUGUAGCGGUGGAAUGCGCAGAUAUCAGGAGGAACACCAAUAGCGAAGGCAGCUCGCUGGGACGGUACUGACGCUAAGGCGCGAAAGCGUGGGGAGCGAACAGG